UACGUAGGUGGCAAGCGUUAUCCGGAUUUAUUGGGCGUAAAGCGAGCGCAGGCGGUCUUUUAAGUCUAAUGUGAAAGCCUUCGGCUCAACCGAAGAAGUGCAUUGGAAACUGGGAGACUUGAGUGCAGAAGAGGACAGUGGAACUCCAUGUGUAGCGGUGAAAUGCGUAGAUAUAUGGAAGAACACCAGUGGCGAAGGCGGCUGUCUGGUCUGCAACUGACGCUGAGGCUCGAAAGCAUGGGUAGCGAACAGG
Molecule: ribosomal RNA, 253 nt
Filed under: uncultured bacterium
Lineage: Bacteria
Description: partial 16S ribosomal RNA
Rfam family: Bacterial small subunit ribosomal RNA
Source: RNAcentral